GCGGCCGGCGCCGCCGUCCCGCCCGCCCUGUGAGGGCCCAGGCCGGCGGGUGGCCGAGGCCGCAGGGGAGCACCGGCAACUCCGCUGUUCCCAGCGGAGUAAAACGCCGUGGAAGAGAAAAAAAAAGCCGAGUUCCUCACAACCCCCGCGUCCUGGGGGACCUGGAGCUGUGAGAGUCACCGAAGGGCAGGAGAUGGGCGACGAACCCCGGGGAAGCCUUCACACGCACCGGGGGCCCCAGCGAUCCGCGCCAGAAUGCGGGCAAGCUCCUUAACGUGCCUUUGCCCCGAGAGCAGGAAGGCGGCCUGCAGCUCAGCGGUUACCCGUAAAUAAAACAACCCCAGCUCCUCGCAGUUAGGACGAAGAGGAAUCCAUUUGGAUACAGGGAGUGUCGGAACUGAGGUUUCGGAGAAAGGAAUACCGAGAACUUAGGGAAACAAAACUUGUUGCCACUGUAGCCGGAUUCAGGCGAUUCGUUCCUCUGUAACCUGUCCAAGCAAAAAAGUCUACAGCGUAUACUCAAGUUACUAUGAAAAAAUCAGUUAGAAACAAGAGGAGCAGCAGUGGCGGUGUGUUGCCAGCCACAGCAUCCGUUCCGAAGCCCAGCAAGAGAAGCCAGAGAGUCAUCAACGUCUUGUGCUCCAUCUGCAGUAUCAGAAAUUUAUAAUCACAUGAAAGCCAGUGCAUUGAGCCACAGAGAGGGAAGGAGGAAAGAAUGAACAGCUCCUUCAUAUUUGAACAACAAUGUAAACAAACUGAAUGAGCAUGUGAAGAGGUUUGUAUUUCAUAAGGCACGAAAAUGGACUCUUUGGCAGAGGUUAUAUUGCUGCCCUCUGCUGCUGGGAACUCGUGCGGUUCAUCUGCCUAACGAGCAGAAAAACGGGCUAUUUGCGAUAAAAGUCUCUGGCCGCACAUAGCAGUACUGCAGCCAAGAGCCUCGAGAUACCUAGUUCAGAAGUGAAGAGGAGGUGAGCUCCCGGAGAGGCAGGGGACGACAGCUUUCUACCCUCUAAUGCGGGCUGGGGGAGGCUGGCUCGUAUCAGUGGCGUUAGCCAGCUGCAGCAGCCAGGGGAGCCUCCCUGGGCUCGCUUCUGCCCACAGCCAGGUUUUCAGGGUGAUCUGCCAUCCCUGUGCCAACACAGCCUUCACUGGAAUAGCUCAGUCUUUGAAUCGCUCCCAAACCAUCAGGAAUCACCAUCCCUCACCAGCAGUAGGAAAGAUGAGACAACAGUGGGAUUGCUGAGGCCUGUGCGGUCUGGAGCACUGCACUUACAGAGCACACACCACUUGCCAAUCCCACGCAAGCCUACAAACGAUGAGAAAGAUGGUCUAAAAAUCAAAUGGAUUAUAGCUGGUAUAUUAAAACCAGAAACUACUUCUUACCUGUAAAUCUUCACGUUAUUCAUCUAUGAGAAUGUGAUUGAUUACUAUUAAAGAGAAUUAAAGAAGAUAGACUUGACAUCCAUGGUAAACUGGUCUAGGAAUAAAGACAAGUCCAAAUUUGUCCCCACAUUUUGAAAUGAAACAUACUCUGUUUUACAUUUAUUUUAUACUCUAUUUAAAUGGGGGAGAAUCAAUACUCAUCUACCUUAUUUUUUUUUUUAAUAAAUGUAUGAAAAUUUGUUAGAUUUAUGAAUAUAUACAAGCAGCAUUUUUAAUCUUUUUUAAGAUAGCAGCUGAAGAAGUCUCAGAUUGUAUGCAAUUAUUGAUUUAUGCUGUGAACUCUCUGUGGACCAAAAAAGGUUCAUUGACCAUAUUACAGUAGCACCCGGAGACCUCCGACUGCAGGCAGACACAGUUUGCUAGGGAGUCUGAAUGUGCCUAGAGAAAAAGACCAGAUGUUCUGGAGCAGCAACAAUCUAGCUGUGCCAGAAAGUGGGUGAGGAAAGGGCUACCCUGACUUCUGCUUUGAAAAUGUGAGAGAAGCAGCAACAAAAUAGAAGAUUUUAUGUUUAGGAGUACUCAGUGCUAACUUUUGUAACUACCAGCAAAGCCUCCAUUGAUACUCGGCAGGAGACAAGCCAGGAGAAGCCAACACCCAUUGAAAAUCUGGAUUUGAAGCCAAAUCUCCCACGUACAACUCCAGUGGAUUGUUUUGGUUGUGUUUUUUUUUUUUUUUUUUUUUUUUUUUUUUCUUUAGGUUACAGAAAGAAAUUCCGGAAGUUGGUUUAAAAAAUAUUCUCUGGAGUCCUCUGAAUAAACAGCAAAGACAACUGUUGAAAUAUAACAUUCCAUAAACUUUUUACUAUUAAAAUUAAUCACACAUGA
Long non-coding RNA from Tyto alba (common barn owl), 2268 nucleotides. RefSeq lists it as uncharacterized. NCBI's taxonomy places the organism in Eukaryota, Metazoa, Chordata, Aves, Strigiformes, Tytonidae. The record is from RefSeq and is a predicted model, not a curated record. The transcript has 2 exons.